UCCGGUGACUAUAUCGAAAAGGAUCACCUGUUCCCAUCCCGAACACAGUAGUUAAGCUUUUCGAGCCGAUGAUAGUGCCCACCAGUGCGAAAGUAGGUAUUGCCGGAU
This is a ribosomal RNA of Pirellula sp. SH-Sr6A, 108 nucleotides long. The record is from Rfam. NCBI's taxonomy places the organism in Bacteria, Pseudomonadati, Planctomycetota, Planctomycetia, Pirellulales, Pirellulaceae.